Long non-coding RNA from Oncorhynchus keta (chum salmon), 662 nucleotides. RefSeq lists it as uncharacterized. The record is from RefSeq and is a predicted model, not a curated record. Lineage: Eukaryota; Metazoa; Chordata; Actinopteri; Salmoniformes; Salmonidae. The transcript is spliced from 3 exons.
CAGGAAGUUCCGGGUCGAAACGACAGAACUGUGUUGUUUUGUCGAUAGUGGUUGUGUCCGUUUCAAAUGUAUCAUUGUAGACCGACUCAGAUUAAGUCUGAGUCCGUUAACGUCAACAGUGAGGACAAACCCAGCCUUCCUCUCUCCUUCCACACUGAGUAGGAACCUACAGUCACUGGGUCCUGAUUGUGACAGUGGAGCCCAGUUUGCUCUGCAGGAUCCAGAGAUGGCAUCAGUGAAGCUGGAAGACUGCAGUCAAACACUGGAGCUGAAUGUCAACCUUAAAGAUGAAGAAGAGGAGGAGAAGAUUGGGACAACUGUUAGUCAUGGAGACCAUAUUGAGACAUUCUCUACAUCCAGACAGCAACAGCAGGAAGAUCAGAGAGCCACGAGGUCCCAUCCCUGCCCACAUUGUGAAGAGAUAUUCCCAUUUCUAUCAAAGCUAAAAAAUACACCUUCAAAUACACACAGGAGAGAAGCCAUACGUCUGCUCUGAAUGUGGAAAAUGUUUUAAAACAUCAAAUGAGCUAAAAGUUCAUCAGAGAACACACUCAGGAGAGAAGCUUUAUUCCUGCUCUGACUGUGGAAAAUAUUUUAAAACAUCAAAUGAGCUAAAAGUUCAUCAGAGAACACACUCAGGAGAGAAGCCUUACGUCUGCUCU